GCUUAUACUCGACCGUCAGCGGCACGUGCGACCGCGCGUUUCGGCGCGCGGUCACGAAGCCCUGACGAGUAGGAGGGUCGCGGCGGUGAGCGCAGAAGGGCUGGCCGCGAGGCCGUCUGGAGCCGCCGUCGGUGCAGAUCUUGGUGGUAGUAGCAAAUACUCCAGCGAGGCCCUGGAGGACUGACGUGGAGAAGGGUUUCGUGUGAACAGCCGUUGCACACGAGUCAGUCGAUCCUAAGCCCUAGGCGAAAGCCGAUGUCGAUGCGGUGUGGAUUUAUAUUUUUUACGACGACGACGACGACGACGAAGAGCGAGAUAAAUUGUUAAUUCGUUUCUUUAACGACGUCGACKACGUCCACGUAUCAAGUCGAUCGAACACACCCAUCGGGCGAAAGGGAAUCCGGUUCCUAUUCCGGA
Molecule: ribosomal RNA, 417 nt
Filed under: Acalles camelus
Lineage: Eukaryota; Metazoa; Arthropoda; Insecta; Coleoptera; Curculionidae
Description: eukaryotic LSU rRNA
Rfam family: Eukaryotic large subunit ribosomal RNA
Source: RNAcentral